CCCCCGCGCCUCCUCCCAGCGCAGACUUCAAGGGCUACCACUGGACCCUUCCCCUGUCUUGAACCCUGAGCCGGCACCAUGCACGGACGCCUGAAGGUGAAGACGUCAGAAGAGCAGGCGGAGGCCAAAAGGCUAGAGCGAGAGCAGAAGCUGAAGCUAUACCAGUCAGCCACCCAGGCCGUAUUCCAGAAGCGCCAGGCUGGUGAGCUGGAUGAGUCAGUGCUGGAACUGACAAGCCAGAUUCUGGGAGCCAACCCUGAUUUUGCCACCCUCUGGAACUGCCGACGAGAGGUGCUCCAGCAGCUGGAGACUCAGAAGUCUCCUGAAGAGUUGGCUGCUCUGGUGAAGGCAGAACUGGGCUUCCUGGAGAGCUGCCUGCGGGUGAACCCCAAGUCUUAUGGUACCUGGCACCACCGAUGCUGGCUGCUAGGCCGCCUACCUGAGCCCAACUGGACCCGAGAGCUGGAGCUCUGUGCCCGUUUCCUGGAGGUGGAUGAGCGGAACUUUCACUGCUGGGACUAUCGGCGGUUUGUGGCCACACAGGCAGCCGUGCCCCCUGCAGAAGAGCUAGCCUUCACUGACAGCCUCAUCACCCGAAACUUCUCCAACUACUCGUCCUGGCAUUACCGCUCCUGUCUCUUGCCCCAGCUGCACCCCCAGCCGGAUUCUGGACCACAGGGGCGCCUCCCUGAGGAUGUGCUGCUCAAAGAGCUGGAGCUGGUGCAGAAUGCCUUCUUCACUGACCCCAAUGACCAGAGUGCCUGGUUUUAUCACCGUUGGCUCCUAGGCCGAGCUGACCCCCAGGAUGCACUGCGCUGCCUGCAUGUGAGCCGGGAGGAGGCCUGUCUGACUGUCUCCUUCUCUCGGCCCCUCCUAGUGGGCUCCAGGACGGAGAUCUUGCUGCUCAUGGUUGAUGAUUCUCCCCUGAUUGUGGAGUGGAGGACUCCAGAUGGCAGGAACCGGCCCAGCCAUGUCUGGCUCUGUGACCUGCCUGCUGCCUCCCUCAACGACCAGUUGCCCCAACAUACAUUUCGCGUCAUUUGGACAGCAGGCGAUGUCCAGAAAGAAUGCGUGCUUUUAAAAGGCCGCCAGGAGGGCUGGUGCCGGGACUCCACCACGGACGAGCAGCUAUUCAGGUGGUGAUAGGGAAGCACAAAACAAGGAGAGGGGCUCUGGACUCUGGGCAUCAGGCAGCCAGGGCAGGAGGCUGGGGCCUCCAGGAGCUGUUUCAGUCUAGAUACUGGGGAUGUUGACCAGUGCUUCAGGGCUGUGGGCCUCAACACCUCCCCACUCUGCCCACCCUCAGGUGUGAGCUGUCAGUGGAGAAGUCCACAGUGCUGCAGUCUGAGCUGGAAUCCUGUAAGGAGCUGCAGGAGCUGGAGCCUGAGAAUAAAUGGUGCCUGCUUACCAUCAUCCUGCUGAUGCGGGCACUGGACCCCCUGCUGUAUGAGAAGGAGACUCUGCAGUACUUCCAGACCCUCAAGGCCGUGGACCCCAUGCGGGCAGCGUAUCUGGAUGACCUGCGCAGCAAGUUCUUGCUGGAGAAUAGCGUGCUCAAGAUGGAGUAUGCCGAGGUGCGUGUGCUGCACCUGGCUCACAAGGAUCUGACAGUGCUCUGCCAUCUGGAACAGCUGCUCUUGGUCACCCAUCUUGACCUGUCACACAAUCGUCUCCGAACCCUGCCACCUGCACUGGCUGCCCUGCGCUGCCUUGAGGUGCUGCAGGCCAGUGAUAAUGCCAUAGAGUCCCUGGAUGGCGUCACCAACCUACCCCGGCUGCAGGAGCUGCUACUGUGCAACAACCGCCUCCAGCGACCUGCAGUGCUCCAGCCUCUUGCCUCCUGCCCCAGGCUGGUCCUCCUCAACCUGCAGGGUAACCCGCUGUGCCAAGCGGUGGGCAUCUUGGAGCAACUGGCUGAACUGCUGCCUUCAGUUAACAGCAUCCUCACCUAAGAGGCCCUGCCCCCUACCCUUGCCCUUUAACUUAUUAGGACUGAA
RNAcentral lists this small RNA (1997 nucleotides) under Pongo abelii (Sumatran orangutan). Its description in RNAcentral is "retained intron". The record is from RNAcentral. Lineage: Eukaryota; Metazoa; Chordata; Mammalia; Primates; Hominidae.